This 305-nucleotide ribosomal RNA is filed under the name uncultured bacterium. RNAcentral's name for it is "bacterial SSU rRNA". It matches the Rfam family "Bacterial small subunit ribosomal RNA", at positions 337 to 659 of the family's 1533-position model. The record is from RNAcentral.
UCCUACGGGGGGCAGCAGUGGGGAAUAUUGCACAAUGGGGGAAACCCUGAUGCAGCGACGCCGCGUGAGUGAAGAAGUAUUUCGGUAUGUAAAGCUCUAUCAGCAGGGAAGAUAAUGACGGUACCUGACUAAGAAGCCCCGGCUAACUACGUGCCAGCAGCCGCGGUAAUACGUAGGUGGCAAGCGUUGUCCGGAUUUACUGGGUGUAAAGGGCGUGCAGCCGGAGAGACAAGUCAGAUGUGAAAUCCACGGGCUCAACCCGUGAACUGCAUUUGAAACUGUUUCCCUUGAGUGUCGGAGAGGUA